UCCUCAGUAGCUCAGUGGUAGAGCGCCCGGCUGUUAACCGGUAGGUCGCAGGUUCGAAUCCUGCCUGGGGAG
Molecule: transfer RNA, 72 nt
Organism: Natranaerobius trueperi
Lineage: Bacteria; Bacillati; Bacillota; Clostridia; Natranaerobiales; Natranaerobiaceae
Rfam family: tRNA
About the family: Transfer RNA (tRNA) molecules are approximately 80 nucleotides in length. Their secondary structure includes four short double-helical elements and three loops (D, anti-codon, and T loops).
Source: Rfam